Molecule: unclassified non-coding RNA, 277 nt
Filed under: air metagenome
Description: partial contains small subunit ribosomal RNA, internal transcribed spacer 1, and 5.8S ribosomal RNA
Rfam family: Eukaryotic small subunit ribosomal RNA (bases 1-46)
Source: RNAcentral
AAGUCGUAACAAGGUUUCCGUAGGUGAACCUGCGGAAGGAUCAUUAACGAAUUUCUCAAAGUUGCUUACAGCGUUGUGCGGUCUCUCGCAUGCGUUGAAGGUGGCUCUUGAGCAUUUCACACAUCCCUUGUGCACCUUAAGGAGGGUAACUAUUCUGUCUUGAGCGCUGUUAGUGCUCGAUGGGAUGUGUUGCCUUCUCUUUCACAACAAAUCUUAUGUUUAGAAUGUUUGAUCAUAUUAAAUAAAAUAACUUUCAACAACGGAUCUCUUGGCUCUC